UCACAACUCAGCUCUUCUCUUUCACAGUACCACACAGAGCUGACUUGGGAAGCUGGGAGCCCCGCAGGAAGCCUCAUACAGCAGAGCCACCCUGACAACCUCAAAUCCUGGGGACUCAGCAUGUUUGCAGCUUCCCAACUGUUUUCUUCCUCACUACUUAAAGGAUGAAUUUGGUGGUUUUGCUCUGAAGUUUGAUGAAACACUUGUAACACUGUCACCAACUUGGCCUGUGAGUUCAUCUUGAAAAGCAAAGCUCCUGUAACACAUGCAUUUUGUAAAAUUCAGUGGCAGUAGUAAAGCACUGGCUCCAGCUCUCAUUUGCAAACUCAUUCAACCUCCUGUCCCAACAGGUCCCUGCUGCUCACAGGUGACACACACAGUGGCUUGUUUUACUGUUGUAUUUCAAGGCCAAUGAAUGCCACGCACCUCUAAAGGCCCCGAUGCCAGGGGAAUACAAACCAGAGGCUGUUUUUGUUGGUCCUUGUUUUGGGGAGUCACAAGUCAUCUCUUACACAGUGGGAAGGACUCAUGUUGGAGAAAGUUUGUGGAAGACUGUCUUCUGUGAGAGGGACACCAUGCUGUAGCAGGAGAAGAAUGUGAGGAGUCCUCCCCCUAAGGAAGGAGUGGUGGGGCUGACCACACCCCCCAUUCCCUGCCCCCUGUGCUGUAGGAGAGGAAGACGUAGAGAAAUUGGAACCACAGCUGAGCCCAGGAAGAAGAAAGGGGUGGAGGGAAGGUGUUUUCAAGAUGUGGUAAUAGUUCCCACAGUCCUAUUCUCUCUGUUAAGUGUUGUUGUUGUUAGUGUUUGAAUUAAAUUGAUGUUCUUUUUC
Molecule: long non-coding RNA, 830 nt
Organism: Athene cunicularia (burrowing owl)
Lineage: Eukaryota; Metazoa; Chordata; Aves; Strigiformes; Strigidae
Exons: 3
Source: RefSeq, a predicted model, not a curated record